Molecule: long non-coding RNA, 3700 nt
Filed under: Canis lupus familiaris (dog)
Lineage: Eukaryota; Metazoa; Chordata; Mammalia; Carnivora; Canidae
Description: lncRNA (ENSCAFG00000058674.1)
Source: RNAcentral
AUGUGUCUGUUUUUGUGUGAUUGGCUUAAAUUUGCAUUAUUGCUCAUCCUUGGACCAAUUUUUAAGGUAAAUUGGUUGGAAUUAUGUGAUUGGCUUAGACCAAUCUGUGUCCAUCUUUGGUCCAAGUCAGGUCAUAUUGUAUCCAACCACAAGUGCUACAAAAUAAGAAGAGAGGCAACCCAUGUUAAUAGAGUUAUGUAUCAGUGGCUCUGUGCAUGGCUUCAAAAUGGAUGGGUCAGACAAUAUCUCUCUUCCAGAGGAGCAUCUGAAGUGGGGUCCCCUCCCAAGAAGGAGCCUUGCUGCUUUCUCCUCCCUUCACCUGUCUUCUCCAGAGCAAAUCAUGCUUCCCUCGGGAGAGCUGAAAAGAGCAUGGAUUUUAAGCAGUGUGGCCUUCAGCAAGUUGCUGUGAAUUUGCACUCCUGGGUGCCAGGACCUGCUUGCUCACCUCUGUCCCUGAGGCCUCUUGGCCACCCGUGCUUCUAGGCCACCCAGCAGUACUGGGCCGGAGUCCACACCAGCUGUGAGUACAGCCACUGCCUCUGCAGCCCUCCUGCCAGGAGCAACGGGGGCACACUGGGUGAGGAGCUCAGGGUUGCAGGGUUUAUCACUGGGCAUGGGAUUCCCUCCUGCCCCCUUCCUUUCAUCACCUCCUCCAAGCCCAGGAAGCUCAGGAACGGGCAGUAGCUCCGUUAUUGGGAUGAGGCUGGGCGAGCGCAGGUCUAAGGAUGGACAGAGAUGACCCCUGCUGCUAAGUAACCCUAUCACGUUUUAGGUUCUGGAUGCUUCGCUGAGUGCUUACUAACAUCAUCUCGCUUCACCCCCAUCAGGACCUUGUGAGUAGGUUAAUAGCAUCCCUAUUAGUCAGAUGAGGAAACCGAGCUUAGAAAGGUUAAUUACUUGAGCCAAGUAGUCCAACUGUGACUCGGGGGGUGAGUGGGGCUGGGAGCCAGGCAAUCUCAGCUGGAGCUCGUGCCUUCUCACUGCCACCCUGCCAGCUGGGCUCUGUGCCAGGCCAGGGCCGAGGAACACAGUGGAUGCAUCCUGGUGCCACCCCAACCCAUCUAUGCAGUGCAUGAGCCUUUCUGGGCAACCUUGCCCCAGUGGUUUCCCCAGCCCUGCUAGCAAGUUUUGGGAGCCUCACCUGGACAAGACCCAAUCUCCUGACUCCUUUGCGGGUCCAGAGCCAUGCUGGGUGGGUGUGAUUUCGGAGGACUGGGCACGAGUGGGAGCUGUAGGCAGCUUCCCCCACAGCCCACCAGAUGCCGGGCAGGUGUGCCCCACCCUUUCCCCCCAGCUGACUUGAGACCCUGGCUUUGCUGUGUAUACAGCAUGGGCCUUGGGGGUCACCCGGCUCUCUGAUUCUAGUACAUCCACUUUUCAUGACUGAGCCUCUGCUAGUUGCCAAGGCUGUUUCUACCAGGAGCUCAGGUGUGAGUCCCACAUGAAUCCUGAGUACUUUCUGUCUCCCCACCUGCCACGUCACCCUCAAGGGUAAUCACAGGAUCUCAGUGUUAGCCUUAGAUUUCAGCAAGAGAUCGUCUCAUCCGACUUUCUCAUUUUCCAGAUGAGCAAAUGGAGGCCUAAGAACAGUUGGAGAUUGGACAGGUCCGCAGAGUGACUUGUCUUAUCUGGAAAUAGGGCUUGAAGACAUGAAUCCAGCAUUCUAGAGGGCAUGGGCAGGUGGGUUGGGCUGCCCUGAUCACAGACUGUUGCCUAGAGGCUGUGAGAGAGGGCGGAGGUGCAUCUCAUGAAUGUCGUGGCUCACCGGUCAACCAGGCUUCACGUCUUUUUUUUUUUUUAAGACUUUAUUUAUUUAUUCAUGAGAGACAGACAGAGAGAGACAGAGACAGAGACAGAAACAGAGACAUAAGCAGGCUUCAUGCAGGGAGCCUGAUGCGGGACUCGAUCACAGAGUCCUGGGAUUAUGCCUUGAGCCAAAGGCAGACGCCCAACCACUGAGCCACCCAAGUGUCCCGAGGCUUCACCUCUUAAGGUAAUUUAGAGCACCUGCCCCACAUGUGAUCGACAUUUCUAGAGCCGUUCACAUCUUUCUGAGGACUGCUCAUAGAAUGGGCUCUUUGGGGACCCAGGGAGGGGUGGUCAGAGGGAGGUUGGAGGGUCACCAGGUGGUGAGAUGGUAGGAGGGGUUUGCAUGUGGGCUGGGAGUAGGGAUGGGAAGUUCCAUGAGGUCCUAUCAAACCCUGAAUUCUACAAGCUUCUAUGAGCUGGGACUCAUACCCAGACCUGGAGGUAUUUUGUUAUUUUUGUUUGUUUGUUUUUCAGUUGGGCCAUGCUGUUUCUGCUCAAGUCAUUAGAGUUAUCAGAAGUCCCAGUGGGCAUCCCUCUGCCUCUUCACUGCUGCUAGGCUGAGCAGAGUCAGGUAUGUUGGGAAAUGUUCUCCAAAUCUGGUCCCUCUGGGGCUGCAUGCUGUGGUUGCAGAAGCCUUCUUGAACUUCCUCCUUGGGGGAAGUAUGCGCUCUCUCCUUCUUUGUAGGUCAGCCGUGAACAUGGAAAAUCACAUGAAUUAAUAGGCAUUUUCUGAGCACUUACUGUAUAAUAUCAUGCUAACGUAAGGGGACAGCUCAAAGAAUGUCAGGGGCACACACAUUCUGUAAGCUCUGGCUCAUAUUUGGGGGUCAUUAUCCCUUCCAUUCCCUUCCUUCCAAGGGGUUGCUCUAGGGAGCACCAUUGUGGCCAGGCACUGGUGAGCGGUGGGGUGACUUCCUAGUGUGAGGGAUUUCCCUCCCUUCUAGCAUUUCCCCAGCCUGCUUGCUGAUGAGAAAUGGCUCUCCUUCCGGGUAGGAAUUUGCUUCUCAUUAAAACAUAAAUCCUCCUAAGAGAGGUCUCACUUUCCCUCUGAUCAGUUGUGACUGAUGUUUAUGUAAUGGACGAUAUAAUAAGAUCCUUUUCAUAUUUUCAUACGAUUGUGAAGGUAACACCCGAUCACUGUAGAAAAUAUGAAAUAUAUGGACACAUACAUAAACAAGGAAACCCAAAUCACCCGUGCUCGCAUAACCCAGAGACAACUGCAGAGCUUUUGCUCCAGUCCUGAUAGGCAGACUGCAUAGUUUACCGAGAGGCACGGUGGUGUGCGGAGGCUCAAAGCUAGAUCUCGAGGCAGGUGCCAAGCCAGUUAGUGGCUCUGUGACCUUCCAGAGAUGAUAGACUCCUCUCUGCCUCAGCUGCUUCAUCUGUAAGAUGGGGAUAAUCAUGGUGCCUAUGCCUUAAGGCUGUUUUGAAGAUUUACUCAGCACUGCCUGGUUCAAGAACUGAGGGGUGUCCGUGUUACUUUUGCUGUUAGGGUUGUCUUAUAACUCAUACGUGACCAAGUCUCCCUGGGCCCCUCAGUCUCACCCGUUCCAAUUUCUAAAUCAUUGCCGGCUAAUGUAGAUUGUUCUAGAAUUUCUUGGGAGAUGAUGGAGAUGUUUAUGUCACACGACGCAACAGAUCGAGCCUUCCUCCCCUGCACUUUAAACAUCUGAGUGCUUUCUCCAAAUUUUUAAUCCUGGUGGAAAUUGUCUCAUUGUCUCUUCUCUUUUUCCCAAGAAACUCUUCCUUGGCCUCUCCAGCCACCUGGCACUGAAACCCUCCCACCCCCUCGAAAUCUCAUCAGCUUACAGAGCUAGCAGCUGCACUCAGCAGAACGAACGAGCCAAAUCCCGACCAAGCAUAUCCCGGGAGCCUCAUUUUAUUUAACCAU